Stegodyphus dumicola is the source of this 425-nucleotide long non-coding RNA. The record is from RefSeq and is a predicted model, not a curated record. Lineage: Eukaryota; Metazoa; Arthropoda; Arachnida; Araneae; Eresidae.
UAGUUAAUGACCAGAAAAAAAGUAAGUCAUAAGUCAUAAAUACCACUCAGCAAUGGCGGUCGAAAAGAAUUGUAAAGUCGCAAAGAAUACUGUUUGUUCGUGGAUUGGCGUUUGUGACUGAAUCCAUCGAAGUUAUAUUUGAAGAAAUCUGGGGAGUCAGCACCUUGCUGAAUUGUAGUAAACGAGACGUCCAAUCUACUAGACCAUCAAAGAUGCAGAUUUGGAUUUUCUAUUUCAUAGUUAUUGAAAUCAUAAUGAGAAUGAAGUACUGCCACUAAGGUAAAGGUGCUAACUUGCAAGGUAAUUUUCUAUUCUACAUUAACUCAAUCUUUAUGUCCUGUUACAGAUAUAUUGGCAGAAAUAAUGAAAACCUGACAUUCAAAAAGAAAAAUAAUAACGUUGAAUGUAGUAUAUUAGAUGGUUAA